RNAcentral lists this transfer RNA (165 nucleotides) under Candidatus Woesearchaeota archaeon. RNAcentral's name for it is "tRNA-Ser". The record is from RNAcentral. Lineage: Archaea; Nanobdellati; Candidatus Woesearchaeota.
GCCGAGGUCGCAUAACCUGGUAUUGCGCAGGAUUGCUAAUCCUGUCCCUUCGGGGGUUGUGGGUUCAAAUCAGGUGCGAAAUCACCUGGCACUUUAGGCGGGUUCGCUAAUCGCUCACCCACCGGAUUUGCUGGCUUUCCUCCUAUGAAAGUCCCACCCUCGGCG